RNA transcript from Vicia villosa (hairy vetch), 1306 nucleotides. It is a transcript of the gene named carbonic anhydrase, chloroplastic, with no coding region annotated. The transcript has 10 exons. Lineage: Eukaryota; Viridiplantae; Streptophyta; Magnoliopsida; Fabales; Fabaceae. The record is from RefSeq and is a predicted model, not a curated record.
GUCAUGGAAGACACAUCAUACAUUAGUAUAUAGCAUUGUCAUUUGAUUCUUCAUUGUAUACCAAUGUCUACCUCUUCAAUAAACGGCUUUAGUCUUUCUUCUUUGUCCCCUGCCAAAACUUCUAUCAAAAGAACUACAUUGAGACCCUUGGUUUUUGCAUCUCUUAACUCUUCUUCUUCAUCUUCUUCUUCCUCGACUUUCCCUUCUCUUAUUCAAGACAAGCCGGUUUUCGCUUCAUCGUCUCCUAUCAUCACCCCAGUUUUGAGAGAAGAAAUGGGAAAGGGCUAUGAAGAAGCUAUUGAAGAGCUCCAAAAAUUGUUGAGGGAGAAGACUGAUCUGAAAGCCACAGCAGCUGAGAAGGUUGAGCAAAUCACAGCUCAAUUGGGAACAACAUCAUCCUCCGAUGGCAUUCCAAAAUCUGAAGCCUCAGAAAGGAUCAAAACUGGUUUCCUUCACUUCAAGAAAGAGAAAUAUGACAAGAAUCCAGCUUUGUAUGGUGAACUUGCCAAAGGCCAGGCCCCUCCGUAUAUGGUGUUUGCAUGCUCAGACUCAAGAGUCUGCCCAUCUCAUGUGCUAGAUUUCCAGCCAGGAGAAGCCUUUGUGGUCAGAAAUGUUGCUAACUUGGUCCCACCAUAUGACCAGGCAAAAUUUGCUGGAACUGGUGCUGCAAUUGAGUAUGCAGUUCUGCAUCUCAAGGUUUCCAACAUUGUUGUCAUUGGACACAGUGCUUGUGGUGGUAUUAAGGGACUUUUGUCCUUUCCAUUUGAUGGAAACUACUCCACUGAUUUCAUUGAGGAGUGGGUCAAAAUUGGUUUACCUGCAAAGGCAAAGGUGAAAUCACAACAUGGAGAUGCACCUUUUGGAGAGCUAUGCACACACUGUGAGAAGGAAGCUGUGAAUGUUUCCCUUGGAAACCUUCUCACCUACCCAUUUGUGAGAGAGGGAUUGGUGAACAAGACAUUGGCACUCAAGGGAGGAUACUAUGACUUUGUGAAAGGAUCUUUUGAGCUUUGGGGACUUGAAUUUGGCCUUUCAUCCACUUUCUCCGUAUGAACAUCAACCAUAUAUCAAUGACCACAUCUUGAUUACUAAGUAUUCUUCUCCCUAAAAUGUCAAAGAUGUGGCCGCGAUUCUACAUUGGAAGCUAUAAUCUCGAGGUUAAAGGUCGUGUGUCUGCAAUGAAGAAGCCUGUCUAUUUUCAUCAUAUGAUAUUUUAUAUAUAUGAGAAUCUAUGAACUUGUAUUAUGUAUAAUAUAUGAUGUAUCUCGUCUUAAAUAAGAGUUUCGAAUUCCUGUUGAGGCAAAAA